AGAGUUUGAUCCUGGCUCAGAACGUACGCUGGCGGCACGCCUAAUACAUGCAAGUCGAACGAAGUAGCAAUACUUAGUGGCAGACGGGUGAGUAACAUGUAGGUAUCUACCCUUUGGUCUGGAAUAACACGAGGAAACUUGUGCUAAUACCGGAUAAGUCUUUACGGAGAAAGCUUUAUGCACCAUUGGAUGAGCCUGCACUUGAUUAGUUUGUUGGUGGGGUAAUGGCCUACCAAGACAAUGAUCAAUAGCUGAUUUGAGAGGAUGAUCAGCCACAUUGGGACUGAGACACGGCCCAAACUCCUACGGGAGGCAGCAGUAGGGAAUCUUGCACAAUGGAGGAAACUCUGAUGCAACGAUGCCGCGUGAGUGAAGAAGGCCUUUGGGUUGUAAAGCUCUUUCGUCGGGGAAGAAAAUGACUGUACCCGAAUAAGAAGGUCCGGCUAACUUCGUGCCAGCAGCCGCGGUAAUACGAAGGGACCUAGCGUAGUUCGGAAUUACUGGGCUUAAAGAGUUCGUAGGUGGUUAAAAAAGUUGGUGGUGAAAUCCCAGAGCUUAACUCUGGAACUGCCAUCAAAACUUUUUAGCUAGAGUAUGAUAGAGGAAAGCAGAAUUUCUAGUGUAGAGGUGAAAUUCGUAGAUAUUAGAAAGAAUACCGAUUGCGAAGGCAGCUUUCUGGAUCAUUACUGACACUGAGGAACGAAAGCAUGGGUAGCGAAGAGGAUUAGAUACCCUCGUAGUCCAUGCCGUAAACGAUGUGUGUUAGACGUUGGAAAUUUAUUUUCAGUGUCGCAGCGAAAGCGAUAAACACACCG
RNAcentral lists this ribosomal RNA (815 nucleotides) under uncultured Pelagibacterales bacterium. RNAcentral describes it as "bacterial SSU rRNA". It matches the Rfam family "Bacterial small subunit ribosomal RNA", at positions 8 to 871 of the family's 1533-position model. The record is from RNAcentral. Lineage: Bacteria; Pseudomonadati; Pseudomonadota; Alphaproteobacteria; Candidatus Pelagibacterales.